This 640-nucleotide long non-coding RNA is filed under the name Homo sapiens (human). RNAcentral describes it as "HSALNT0113096". Lineage: Eukaryota; Metazoa; Chordata; Mammalia; Primates; Hominidae. The record is from RNAcentral.
GUGUGAAGCAGCAGAUAGAGGCCUUAGAAUUUUAAUUCUAGCUCCACUGCUUCUGAAGUGUGUGCGUUGGGGUAAACUCUAAGCUUUCAUCUCUCUCUGUGUAAAGUAUCUACCUUAGACAGCUACUUUGAGGAGUAAAGAAGAAAUAUUUUAUUCAUAUGGAAGUAUGUAUCUCACCUCUAUCAUUUCGUUUCCAUAUAUGGAUAUACUCUUCUGCACCAGUUUACUUUCUACUUUAGAAGUCUACUUCUAAACGACUUUCCAUGUGAGUAUUUAUUAUAUUUCACAAAAACUUAUAUAGUGCUUUCUAUGUGCCAGACCCUUGUCUAAGUGCCUUGCAAAUAUUGUAUCAUUUUAUCUUCAUAGCAACUUCAUAGCAAGAUGUCCUAUUCUUGUGUCCAUUUCAUAGACAAGCAAAGUGAGACAUAUGGAUAUUAUGAUGCUUGCUAUAGAUAACCCCAGCUAUAAAUGGUGGUGCCAAGUUUCAAACCCGGGUAUGAUUCCAGAGUCUGCACUGAGCCUUCAGAAUCUGCUCACUAAGCUGAGCUGCUGGUUUGCAUACAUAGUAUAUAUAAAUCUUGGUGGAUAAAUAGAUGUCACCUUUCUUAACAGCUGAGUGAUAUUCCCUUGCAUGAACGGC